CCUGAAGAAAGUGGAAGUGCGCUCGCCGCCCGCCGCUCCUCCCGGAGACCAGUUCUGGCCAUGCCGUGACCCCGCUCCUCCGCUGCCAUGAACAGGGCGCCUCUGAAGCGCUCCCGGAUCCUGCACAUGGCGCUGAUGGGGACCGACGCCGCCGCCGGGGCAGAGGCCAGCCCGGGGAAGCCCUUCCUGCUCCGGGCCCUGCAGAUCGCACUGGUGGUCUUUCUGUACUGGGUCACCUCCAUCUCCAUGGUGUUUCUCAACAAGUACCUGCUGGACAGCCCCUCCCUGCAGCUGAACACCCCCAUCUUCGUCACCUUCUACCAGUGCCUGGUGACCACCCUGCUGUGCAAGGGCCUCAGCGCCCUGGCCGCCUGCUGCCCGGGGGCCGUGGAGUUCCCCAGCCUGCGCCUGGACCUCAGGGUGGCCCGCAGCGUCCUGCCCCUGUCCGUGGUCUUCAUCUGCAUGAUCACCUUCAACAACCUCUGCCUGAAGUACGUGGGUGUGGCCUUCUACAACGUGGGCCGCUCCCUCACCACCGUCUUCAACGUGCUGCUCUCCUACCUGCUGCUCAAGCAGACCACCUCCUUCUAUGCCUUGCUCGCCUGCGGCAUCAUCAUCGGUGAGUGGCAAGCCCGGGCCGUGGGACACAGAGGCGAUAUGGGGGCCCAAACCCGAAGGAACAACCCUGCCAAACAUCUGUGGACUUUAUCCGUCCCAGCUCCCUUGAUGGUAAUAUGAGGAUGAGCUUGGGAGAACCAAUAACUUGCUUGAGGUCACCCAGCAAGUUGGGGGCCCAGGUAGGGCUCCUCAUGCAGGUGAAAUUAUAAUUUAUAUUUCACAGGGGAAAACCCAGGCACAGAGAGGUGAAGUAACUUGCCCAAGAUCGCACAGCUAGUAAGUGGCAGAGCUGGGAUCUGAUCUCAAGUAACCAGGCUCCAUACACUUGACCUCUAAACUCUGUUGCUA
Myotis brandtii (Brandt's bat) is the source of this 966-nucleotide RNA transcript. It is a transcript of the gene named GDP-fucose transporter 1 pseudogene, with no coding region annotated. The record is from RefSeq and is a predicted model, not a curated record. NCBI's taxonomy places the organism in Eukaryota, Metazoa, Chordata, Mammalia, Chiroptera, Vespertilionidae. The transcript has a single exon.